GACGAACGCUGGCGGCGUGCUUAACACAUGCAAGUCGAACGGAAAGGCCCCUUUGGGGGUACUCGAGUGGCGAACGGGUGAGUAACACGUGAGUAACCUGCCCUUGACUUCGGGAUAACUUCAGGAAACUGGGGCUAAUACCGGAUAGGAAUCCUUGCUGCAUGGUGGGGGUUGGAAAGCUUCGGCGGUUUUGGAUGGACUCGCGGCUUAUCAGCUUGUUGGUGGGGUAGUGGCUUACCAAGGCUUUGACGGGUAGCCGGCCUGAGAGGGCGACCGGCCACAUUGGGACUGAGAUACGGCCCAGACUCCUACGGGAGGCAGCAGUGGGGAAUAUUGCACAAUGGGCGGAAGCCUGAUGAAGCAACGCCGCGUGCGGGAUGACGGCCUUCGGGUUGUAAACCGCUUUCAGCAGGGGCGAAGCUUGUGGUGACGGUACCUGCAGAAGAAGCACCGGCUAACUACGUG
RNAcentral lists this ribosomal RNA (465 nucleotides) under uncultured bacterium. Its description in RNAcentral is "partial 16S ribosomal RNA". It matches the Rfam family "Bacterial small subunit ribosomal RNA", at positions 28 to 507 of the family's 1533-position model. The record is from RNAcentral.